UGCCAGCAGCCGCGGUAAUACGGAGGGCGCAAGCGUUAUUCGGAAUUAUUGGGCGUAAAGGGCGCGCAGGCGGUCUUGUCCGUCAGGUGUGAAAGCUCGGGGCUCAACCCCGGAAGUGCACUUGAAACAGCAAGACUUGAAUACGGUAGAGGAGAGAGGAAUUCCUGGUGUAGAGGUGAAAUUCGUAGAUAUCAGGAGGAACACCGAUGGCGAAGGCAGCGCUCUGGGCCAAUACUGACGCUGAGGAGCGAAAGCAUGGGGAGCAAACAGGAUUAGAUA
Molecule: ribosomal RNA, 279 nt
Filed under: uncultured bacterium
Lineage: Bacteria
Description: partial 16S ribosomal RNA
Rfam family: Bacterial small subunit ribosomal RNA
Source: RNAcentral